UGGGGAAUUUUGCGCAAUGGGCUAACGCCUGACGCAGCAACGCCGCGUGGAGGAUGAAGGUCUUUGGAUUGUAAACUCCUGUCAGCAGGGAACAAGCGACUUAGGUUAAUACCCUAGGGAGUUGAUUGUACCUGCAGAGGAAGCCCCGGCUAACGCUGUGCCAGCAGCCGCGGUAAUACAGAGGGUGCAAGCGUUAUUCGGAGUUAUUGGGCGUAAAGAGCGCGUAGGCGGCUCGAUAAGUUUGGUGUGAAAUCCCUGGACUCAAUCCAGGAAGUGCAUUGAAUACUGUCGAGCUAGAGUGCAGGAGAGGUGAGCGGAAUUCCUGGUGUAGAGGUGAAAUUCGUAGAUAUCAGGAGGAACAACAGAGGCGAAGGCGGCUCACUGGACUGAUACUGACGCUGAGGCGCGAAAGCGUGGGGAGCAAA
This 425-nucleotide ribosomal RNA is filed under the name uncultured bacterium. RNAcentral describes it as "bacterial SSU rRNA". It matches the Rfam family "Bacterial small subunit ribosomal RNA", at positions 355 to 772 of the family's 1533-position model. The record is from RNAcentral.